CCUACGGGAGGCAGCAGUGAGGAAUAUUGGUCAAUGGGCGCUAGCCUGAACCAGCCCAGUCGCGUGAAGGAUGACUGCCCUAUGGGUUGUACACUUCUUUUGUCUGGGCAUACAGUUCAGUAUGUAUACUUCUUUGCAUGUACCUUAUGAAUAAGCAUCGGCUAACUCCGUGCCAGCAGCCGCGGUAAUACGGAGGAUUCGAGCGUUAUCCGGAUUUAUUGGGUUUAAAGGGAGCGUAGGCGGGUUGUUAAGUCAGUGGUGAAAGUUUGCGGCUCAACCGUAAGAUAGCAGUUGAUACUGGCAGCCUUGAGUACAGUAGAGGUAGGCGGAAUUCGUGGUGUAGCGGUGAAAUGCUUAGAUAUCACGAAGAACUCCGAUUGCGAAGGCAGCCUGUUGGACUGUAACUGACGCUGAUGCUCGAAAGUGUGGGUAUCAAACAGGAUUAGAUACCCUGGUAGUC
Molecule: ribosomal RNA, 460 nt
Filed under: uncultured bacterium
Lineage: Bacteria
Description: partial 16S ribosomal RNA
Rfam family: Bacterial small subunit ribosomal RNA
Source: RNAcentral